RNAcentral lists this transfer RNA (69 nucleotides) under Parasa lepida. RNAcentral's name for it is "tRNA-Leu". The record is from RNAcentral. Lineage: Eukaryota; Metazoa; Arthropoda; Insecta; Lepidoptera; Limacodidae.
ACUAUUUUGACAGAUAAAUGUGAUGGUUUUAGAAGUCAUAAAUAUAUAAUUAAAAUUAUAUAAGUAGUA